RNAcentral lists this long non-coding RNA (837 nucleotides) under Monodelphis domestica (gray short-tailed opossum). RNAcentral's name for it is "lncRNA (ENSMODG00000044596.1)". Lineage: Eukaryota; Metazoa; Chordata; Mammalia; Didelphimorphia; Didelphidae. The record is from RNAcentral.
AUCUUUCAGUGAUAAGAAAUGUGAUUCUUACUCUCAAUGCUAGUAAUCAUUUUUUUAACUUAAUAUUGGGACAAAUUUGAUAAGUAUGCCCUAGAUGUGGGAUGAUGAGCCAAAGCAACAAGCUCAACAGAAAAGGAUCCUUGAGAAAAGAACCUUACAGACUUCCUUCCCUAAUGCUAUUGAUGGAAAGAUGGAAACUGAAAGAUCUCAGAAUGCAGUUUUGGAGAAGAUAAUUGCUGUUAAUGCAGCCACCAUAUUUCUAGACAUUUGUGAGGUCAUUGUGGAUACCAAGACAGAGUUUGAAGCCAACUGGAUACAUUCUGGAGAAUCUUUCCAUGGACUCUAUUUAUGGGCUACCCAUUCAACCUAUUUAUCUCUCUCUAGGAUCGCAGAACUGUUGCUAUUUUGCAUUGAUAUCAAGAGUUCCCUAUGAUGAUGCAAACACAGACCUGGAUCAAAAAACAGAAAAAAGUGAAUAUAGUAGUUAUCUGAGAAGGAAGAAAACAUUAACUCUGGUAAGUUUCAAGAAGGCAAUGGCUGAAGUGAGCCUUGAAGGAGGAGAAAUGGAAAUAGAGAAGUGCAUUUCAAAUCCAGGGCAUAACCUGUGCUAAUGUACAGAGAUAAAUGUUAAAAAGUUGGGGUCAUGAAGAGUUGGGCAUGACUAAAAAUGACCAAACAAUAAUAACAAAAGGAUACCUCAAAAUGUUUAUUGGCAAUGAGGAGCAGUCAAGAGAUGGGGAGAGGAAAAGAUAAGAGGGAAAGAAUUAUAUAUGGCAUGAGCUCCACAAGGAUAUUGUAAGGAUUGUGAUUGGGAGAAUAAAUUAGGAGUUCUUGGCA